GUGGUCUGGAGCUUCACUCCAACCCCUGUGACAUACCAAUUGUUGCCUCGGCGGAUCAGCCCGCUCCCGGUAAAACGGGACGGCCCGCCAGAGGACCCCUAAACUCUGUUUCUAUAUGUAACUUCUGAGUAAAACCAUAAAUAAAUCAAAACUUUCAACAACGGAUCUCUUGGUUCUGGCAUCGAUGAAGAACGCAGCAAAAUGCGAUAAGUAAUGUGAAUUGCAGAAUUCAGUGAAUCAUCGAAUCUUUGAACGCACAUUGCGCCCGCCAGUAUUCUGGCGGGCAUGCCUGUUCGAGCGUCAUUUCAACCCUCAAGCCCAGCUUGGUGUUGGGACUCGCGAGUCAAAUCGCGUUCCCCAAAUUGAUUGGCGGUCACGUCGAGCUUCCAUAGCGUAGUAGUAAAACCCUCGUUACUGGUAAUCGUCGCGGCCACGCCGUUAAACCCCAACUUCUGAAUGUUGACCUCGGAUCAGGUAGGAAUACCCGCUGAACUUAAGCAUAUCUAACCGGGGAGAGAAAAA
Molecule: ribosomal RNA, 522 nt
Filed under: Fusarium verticillioides
Lineage: Eukaryota; Fungi; Ascomycota; Sordariomycetes; Hypocreales; Nectriaceae
Description: eukaryotic LSU rRNA
Rfam family: 5.8S ribosomal RNA (bases 150-303)
Source: RNAcentral